RNAcentral lists this ribosomal RNA (490 nucleotides) under uncultured bacterium. Its description in RNAcentral is "partial 16S ribosomal RNA". It matches the Rfam family "Bacterial small subunit ribosomal RNA", at positions 28 to 507 of the family's 1533-position model. The record is from RNAcentral.
GAUGAACGCUAGCUACAGGCUUAACACAUGCAAGUCGAGGGGCAGCAUGGUCUUAGCUUGCUAAGGCCGAUGGCGACCGGCGCACGGGUGAGUAACACGUAUCCAACCUGCCGUCUACUCUUGGACAGCCUUCUGAAAGGAAGAUUAAUACAAGAUGGCAUCAUGAGUCCGCAUGUUCACAUGAUUAACGGUAUUCCGGUAGACGAUGGGGAUGCGUUCCAUUAGAUAGUAGGCGGGGUAACGGCCCACCUAGUCUUCGAUGGAUAGGGGUUCUGAGAGGAAGGUACCCCACAUGGGAACUGAGACACGGUCCAAACUCCUACGGGAGGCAGCAGUGAGGAAUAUGGGGCAAUGGGCGCAGGCCUGAACCAGCCAAGUAGCGUGAAGGAUGACUGCCCUAUGGGUUGUAAACUUCUUUUAUAAAGGAAUAAAGUCGGGUAUGUAUACCCGUUUGCAUGUACUUUAUGAAUAAGGAUCGGCUAACUCCGUG